RNAcentral lists this non-coding RNA (28 nucleotides) under Homo sapiens (human). Lineage: Eukaryota; Metazoa; Chordata; Mammalia; Primates; Hominidae. The record is from RNAcentral.
UCCCUUUGGUCCUUACCAUAGGCUGCCA